GUGCUCGCUUUGGCAGCACAUAUACUAAAAUUGGAACAAUACAAAGAUCAGCAUGGUCCCCUGCACAAGGAUGACACACAAAUUUGUGAAAUGUUCCAUAUUAAA
Molecule: small nuclear RNA, 105 nt
Filed under: Myotis brandtii (Brandt's bat)
Lineage: Eukaryota; Metazoa; Chordata; Mammalia; Chiroptera; Vespertilionidae
Source: RNAcentral